This 460-nucleotide ribosomal RNA is filed under the name uncultured bacterium. Its description in RNAcentral is "partial 16S ribosomal RNA". It matches the Rfam family "Bacterial small subunit ribosomal RNA", at positions 338 to 795 of the family's 1533-position model. The record is from RNAcentral.
CCUACGGGUGGCAGCAGUGAGGAAUAUUGGUCAAUGGACGCAAGUCUGAACCAGCCAAGCCGCGUGCAGGAAGACGGCCCUAUGGGUUGUAAACUUCUUUUAUAAGGGGGUAAACGGAGACACGCGUACCUGUCUGUAAGUACUUUAUGAAUAAGGAUCGGCUAACUCCGUGCCAGCAGCCGCGGUAAUACGGAGGAUUCAAGCGUUAUCCGGAUUUAUUGGGUUUAAAGGGGGCGUAGACGGGCGGAUAAGUCAGUGGUGAAAUCCCGAGGCUCAACCUCAGAAUUGCCUCUGAUACUGGUCGCCUAGAGUGUAGUUGCGGUAGGCGGAAUGUGUGGUGUAGCGGUGAAAUGCUUAGAGAUCAUACAGAACUCCGAUUGCGAAGGCAGCUUACCAAGCUGCUUCUGACGUUGAGGCACGAAAGCGUGGGUAGCAAACAGGAUUAGAUACCCGAGUAGUC